This 263-nucleotide ribosomal RNA is filed under the name uncultured bacterium. Its description in RNAcentral is "partial 16S ribosomal RNA". It matches the Rfam family "Bacterial small subunit ribosomal RNA", at positions 332 to 613 of the family's 1533-position model. The record is from RNAcentral.
UAGACCCUACGGGGGGCAGCAGUGGGGAAUAUUGCACAAUGGGGGGAACCCUGAUGCAGCAAUGCCGCGUGGGUGAAGAAGCACUCCGGUGCGUAAAGCCCUGUCAGCAGGGAAGAAAAUGACAGUACCUGACCAAGAAGCCCCGGCUAACUACGUGCCAGCAGCCGCGGUAAUACGUAGGGGGCAAGCGUUAUCCGGAUUUACUGGGUGUAAAGGGAGCGCAGGCGGCGUGGCAAGUCAGAUGUGAAAAGCCGGGGCCCAAC